Molecule: ribosomal RNA, 253 nt
Filed under: uncultured bacterium
Lineage: Bacteria
Description: partial 16S ribosomal RNA
Rfam family: Bacterial small subunit ribosomal RNA
Source: RNAcentral
GACGAAGGAUGCAAGCGUUAUCCGGAUUCAUUGGGUUUAAAGGGAGCGUAGGCGGCCUGGUAAGUCAGGGGUGAAAUCCUGGAGCUCAACUCCAGAACUGCCUUUGAUACUGGCGACCUUGAGUCCGGGAGAGGUGAGUGGAACUGCGAGUGUAGAGGUGAAAUUCGUAGAUAUUCGCAAGAACACCAGUGGCGAAGGCGGCUCACUGGCCCGGUACUGACGCUGAGGUGCGAAAGCGUGGGGAGCAAACAGG